AGUGAACACUGGCGGCAGGCCUAACACAUGCAAGUCGAACGGCAGCACAGUAAGAGCUUGCUCUUACGGGUGGCGAGUGGCGGACGGGUGAGGAAUACAUCGGAAUCUACUUUUUCGUGGGGGAUAACGUAGGGAAACUUACGCUAAUACCGCAUACGACCUACGGGUGAAAGCAGGGGAUCUUCGGACCUUGCGCGAUUGAAUGAGCCGAUGUCGGAUUAGCUAGUUGGCGGGGUAAAGGCCCACCAAGGCGACGAUCCGUAGCUGGUCUGAGAGGAUGAUCAGCCACACUGGAACUGAGACACGGUCCAGACUCCUACGGGAGGCAGCAGUGGGGAAUAUUGGACAAUGGGCGCAAGCCUGAUCCAGCCAUACCGCGUGGGUGAAGAAGGCCUUCGGGUUGUAAAGCCCUUUUGUUGGGAAAGAAAAGCAGCAGGUUAAUACCCCGCUGUUCUGACGGUACCCAAAGAAUAAGCACCGGCUAACUUCGUG
RNAcentral lists this ribosomal RNA (492 nucleotides) under uncultured bacterium. RNAcentral's name for it is "partial 16S ribosomal RNA". It matches the Rfam family "Bacterial small subunit ribosomal RNA", at positions 29 to 507 of the family's 1533-position model. The record is from RNAcentral.